GAUGAACGCUGGCGGCGUGCCUAAUACAUGCAAGUCGAGCGAACAGACGAGGAGUUUGCUCCUUUGACGUUAGCGGCGGACGGGUGAGUAACACGUGGAUAACCUACCUAUAAGACUCGUAUAAUUUCGGGAAACCGGAGCUAAUACCGGAUAACUUAUUGAACCUCAUGGUUCAACAGUGAAAUUCGGUCUUGCUGUCACUUAUAGAUGGAUCAGGCCCGCAUUAGUUACUUGGUAAGGUAACUGCCUACCAAGGCAACGAAGCGUAGCCGACCCCAGAGGGACAUCCGCCACCCGGGAAGUGAGACAGGGUAGAGACACCUACGGUAGGCAACAGCACGGAAUCUUACGCAAUGGGCGAAUGCCUAACGGAGCAACGUGGCGUGAGUGCAGAAGGUCUUAGGCCGGGAAAACUAUGUUAGUAGGAAAAAACAAAUGUGUAAGUAACUAUGAACGUAUUGACGGUACCUAAUCAGAAAGCCACGGCUAACUACGUG
Molecule: ribosomal RNA, 497 nt
Filed under: uncultured bacterium
Lineage: Bacteria
Description: partial 16S ribosomal RNA
Rfam family: Bacterial small subunit ribosomal RNA
Source: RNAcentral